AACGAACGCUGGCGGCAUGCCUAACACAUGCAAGUCGAACGAGACCUUCGGGUCUAGUGGCGCACGGGUGCGUAACGCGUGGGAAUCUACCCUCAGGUCCGGAUAAACUCAAAGAAAUUGGACUGAUAACCGGGGGUUAAUGAAGGCCAAAAGAUUAACCCCCUGGGGGUGGGCCGGGGUGGGAUUAGGUGUUUGGUGAGGUAAAGGCUAACCAACCCGACGAGCCUUAGCUGGGCGGAGAGGCUGACAGGCCACACUGGGACUGGGACACGGCCCAGACUCCUACGGGAGGCAGCAGUGGGGAAUAUUGGACAAUGGGCGAAAGCCUGAUCCAGCAAUGCCGCGUGAGUGAUGAAGGCCUUAGGGUUGUAAAGCUCUUUUACCCGGGAUGAUAAUGACAGUACCGGGAGAAUAAGCUCCGGCUAACUCCGUG
RNAcentral lists this ribosomal RNA (433 nucleotides) under uncultured bacterium. Its description in RNAcentral is "partial 16S ribosomal RNA". It matches the Rfam family "Bacterial small subunit ribosomal RNA", at positions 29 to 507 of the family's 1533-position model. The record is from RNAcentral.